UACGAAGGGUGCGAGCGUUAUUCGGAAUUAUUGGGCGUAAAGGGUUCGUAGGCGGGAGAGCAAGUUAAGUGUGAAAUAUCCGGGCUUAACCUGGAAAGUGCAUUUAAAACUGUUUUUCUUGAGUGUUGAAGAGGGUGGUGGAAUCGCUGGUGUAGGAGUGACAUCCGUAGAGAUCAGCAGGAACAUCGGAGGCGAAGGCGGCCACCUGGUCAACAACUGACGCUGAGGAACGAAAGCAUGGGGAGCAAACAGG
This 253-nucleotide ribosomal RNA is filed under the name uncultured bacterium. RNAcentral describes it as "partial 16S ribosomal RNA". It matches the Rfam family "Bacterial small subunit ribosomal RNA", at positions 524 to 776 of the family's 1533-position model. The record is from RNAcentral.